This 629-nucleotide long non-coding RNA is filed under the name Capsicum annuum. Its description in RNAcentral is "long non-coding RNA (CANN_LNC021759)". The record is from RNAcentral. Lineage: Eukaryota; Viridiplantae; Streptophyta; Magnoliopsida; Solanales; Solanaceae.
UUUAACUUCAUUUUUCUUGGAAUAGAAAACCAGUGGCGUCAUGGCUACCCCGUUUCGACGACGUUCACCGGAACAAUGAUGGAUUAUCAAAAUCCAGUCAGAUUUGGCUUCCCAUAAUACGGAAGUACGGCUGGAGUUUGCCGGCGGGAAAAGAAGAAGAGGGGACAGCGGCGAUGCUGGCGACAGGAGGGAGUUUUAAUGGCUGGUCUGAGGUUUUCGGGCGAGUUGAUUCGCCGGAAUUGACGUGAAAAGGGUCUGUUUUUUCAUUGCUUUCCAAUGAAUUUUGUGUUGAGGUUGCGAUUCCAGCGAAAGAAAAGGCCCGUUCCAGCGAGUAAAGAGGGCUCCGGUUAGAAUCUGAUGGUUUUGGCCGUUUAGUCACCGAAAAAAAUGGUGAUUCCGACGAACAUAUCACUGGAAAAGCAAUCCCCUAUUCUGUUCCCUCUUUCCAUUUUCUCUCUCUAUCUUGCCAUUUUUAUCUGUUUAUCCUCUUUCUUACUGCUCUUUGUAAUAUUUUUUUCAUCUGUUUCGAUCUCUAUCUCACUUCUCUUCUGAUUUUUUUACUCUUUUCAGUGUGUGCGUGCUACUAUGUGUGUGAGAAUAUGUGAAUAUGUGUGUGUUGUAUAUUGUUG